CUCCCUAUCGCGCCGAGCUCCAUCCAAUAGGCAGGGGCCCAUCGACCUACAUGGAUGGAGACGGGGGACCCACCGGUCCACCGUGAUCGGACUGGGGCCGCUUGCGGCCCCUUGGGGUGAAGCCGAGUCGUUUCGCAGUGGAGACGACGACGGCCGGGUGGCCUCUCCAACCCGAACCCGACAGCUGACCUCGCAGGCGCGUGACGAGAGAGGAA
Molecule: small RNA, 215 nt
Filed under: Mycobacterium malmoense
Lineage: Bacteria; Bacillati; Actinomycetota; Actinomycetes; Mycobacteriales; Mycobacteriaceae
Description: c-di-AMP sequence
Rfam family: c-di-AMP riboswitch aptamer (ydaO/yuaA leader) (bases 26-215)
About the family: This family represents a conserved RNA structure found upstream of the ydaO and yuaA genes in Bacillus subtilis and related genes in other bacteria.
Source: RNAcentral